Molecule: ribosomal RNA, 254 nt
Filed under: uncultured bacterium
Lineage: Bacteria
Description: partial 16S ribosomal RNA
Rfam family: Bacterial small subunit ribosomal RNA
Source: RNAcentral
AACGUAGGUGGCGAGCGUUAUCCGGAUUCAUUGGGCGUAAAGAGCUCGUAGGCGGCUCAGUAAGUCGGGUGUGAAACCCCCAGGCUCAACCUGGGGACGCCACCCGAUACUGCUGUGGCUAGAGUCCAGUAGGGGAGUGUGGAAUUCCCGGUGUAGCGGUGAAAUGCGUAGAUAUGUGGAGGAACACCGAUGGCGAAGGCAGCCCCCUGGGCUAACACUGACGCUCAUGCACGAAAGCGUGGGGAGCAAACAGG